This 254-nucleotide ribosomal RNA is filed under the name uncultured bacterium. RNAcentral describes it as "partial 16S ribosomal RNA". It matches the Rfam family "Bacterial small subunit ribosomal RNA", at positions 524 to 776 of the family's 1533-position model. The record is from RNAcentral.
UACGUAGGCAGCGAGCGUUGUUCGGAGUUACUGGGCGUAAAGAGCUCGUAGGCGGCUCGGUAAGUCGGAUGUGAAACCUCCAGGCUCAACCUGGAGACGCCAUCUGAUACUGCCGUGGCUUGAGUCCGGUAGAGGAGCAGGGAAUUCCUGGUGUAGCGGUGAAAUGCGCAGAUAUCAGGAGGAACACCAGCGGCGAAGGCGCUGCUCUGGGCCGGUACUGACGCUGAGGAGCGAAAGCGUGGGGAGCGAACAGG